AACUAACGCUAUAUAAGUAUCAGUUUCUGUACUUUAUUGGUAUAUGAAACUUCCGGAACCUCAAUUCCGRCAAAUCUUUCGGGGGGCGGAGCCC
RNAcentral lists this unclassified non-coding RNA (94 nucleotides) under Leptomonas sp. C4. RNAcentral describes it as "spliced leader RNA". Lineage: Eukaryota; Euglenozoa; Kinetoplastea; Trypanosomatida; Trypanosomatidae. The record is from RNAcentral.